AAAUUGAAGAGUUUGAUCAUGGCUCAGAUUGAACGCUGGCGGCAGGCCUAACACAUGCAAGUCGAACGGUAACAGGAARCAGCUUGCUGUUUCGCUGACGAGUGGCGGACGGGUGAGUAAUGUCUGGGAAACUGCCUGAUGGAGGGGGAUAACUACUGGAAACGGUAGCUAAUACCGCAUAACGUCGCAAGACCAAAGAGGGGGACCUUCGGGCCUCUUG
This 220-nucleotide ribosomal RNA is filed under the name Escherichia coli. Its description in RNAcentral is "partial 16S ribosomal RNA". It matches the Rfam family "Bacterial small subunit ribosomal RNA", at positions 1 to 217 of the family's 1533-position model. Lineage: Bacteria; Pseudomonadati; Pseudomonadota; Gammaproteobacteria; Enterobacterales; Enterobacteriaceae. The record is from RNAcentral.